GCAAAAGCUCAGAUUUGAAAGCCGCAAGGCAUUGUAUUCUGAAGCCGUUGUCCUGGGAACCGGUGUUUAAGUCUCCUGGAAAGGAGCGCCAUAGAGGGUGAUAGCCCCGUACGACACUGACCCCAUUGUAGGACUUCGGCGUGGAGUCGAGUUGUUUGGGAAUGCAGCUCAAAAGGGUGGUAUGCUCCAUCUAAAGCUAAAUAUCUGCGAGAGACCGAUAGCGAACAAGUACUGUGAAGGAAAGAUGAAAAGAACUUUGAAAAGAGAGUGAAAAAGUACGUGAAAUUGUUGAAAUGGAAGGGUAGGCCGCUAACCACGCAGAGUCGUGUCUGGGGGGAGGAU
RNAcentral lists this ribosomal RNA (342 nucleotides) under Starmerella sp. RNAcentral describes it as "partial 28S ribosomal RNA". It matches the Rfam family "Eukaryotic large subunit ribosomal RNA", at positions 101 to 461 of the family's 3401-position model. Lineage: Eukaryota; Fungi; Ascomycota; Dipodascomycetes; Dipodascales; Trichomonascaceae. The record is from RNAcentral.